This is a non-coding RNA of Elaeis guineensis (African oil palm), 3442 nucleotides long. The record is from RefSeq and is a predicted model, not a curated record. NCBI's taxonomy places the organism in Eukaryota, Viridiplantae, Streptophyta, Magnoliopsida, Arecales, Arecaceae.
CUCUUAUUUUCAUGCUUACCACCAUUGUCAUGAAAACCAACAAUGGUUUUUGAGCUCUCAGAUGUUGGUCAUCUUGGUCAAUGAUUGGAACCAAGCUAAAUAGACUUUGUGAUUUUUCUUGGUCAAGAUGGAAGGUGGGGAAAUUUUGGAAAGAACCAAGAUAACUUGAAAUCUUGGUCAAUACACAGUAACCAAGAUAUACUGAGAUCUUAGGGGGUACUUGGUUGGGGGGAAUGGAGGUUCGGAAUAGGAAUUGGAAUGGGUGACUCCCAUGCCCCCCGCUUGGUUGGAGGGAGUCCCAUUCUAAUUUCGAUUCCGGGGUGGAAUGGGAAUGGUCCAAUUUACCUAAAACUCAAUCCCCAUUUUCCCCUAUAGAUUCAAAUUUUCAUUCCGAUUCCGAUUCUGGUCAUGAACCAAACGCUUUAGUAGAUUUGAUCAUUUCGAUUCUCAUUCCAAUCCAUUCCGAAUCCGAUUCCGAAUCCGAUUCCGGUCGCGAACCAAGCACCCCCUUAAUGUUUAUUUAUUAAAAGACUCAUUUGAGAUAUUAAAAAGAGGGAUCGGAAUUUCAAAGAUAUAGGUAGUCUGGCCUUUGCCCUCAACUUUUUUGUUUUUUUUUUUUUUUGACGUUGAAAACUUCUGUGUGUGUCGAAUUUUGAAAAUAACACAAAAUUUGUCAUAUUUGAAUAACAAAUGACAAGACGGUUGUGUGUUUUCUCACAGUUGUUAUCCUCAAUAGAGAACUGUUGAAUGAAUAUUUUGAUCUUCUUAAUAAAGUUCUGAAUACAAAGUAUUAGUGGUGUGAUUUCUUUGAGAUGGCUGUGUACUGUGACUGCCACUUUGAAAAUGCUGUGGGCUCUCACCUUUCCUGAGCAAGGAAUUUUGUUCAAAAGCACUAUUCCAGUUUCCCAGGGAUCUUAACCUAAGAAUUGACAUAGCAAAGAUAAUGAGCGUACUCCCUAUGGCUUUAGUCUUACAUUGUCCAUUCUUAUUCUUGCUUGUGUGGUGUUUCUUGUAAUUAGGCCUAGAAAUUAAGCAUUUUGGGCUUAAUUACCUUGGGUGACAUGAAUGGUGCAACUUCUGAGCAAUGGAUUAAAGCUAUGAACUAGGCUCGAUGGGUCAUCCGAGUAUCAAAUAAAAGAGAUAGAUGACAACCUGGUUGAGCUGACUAUGUACUUGAUACACACCAUUUCUUUUCUCUUAUUCUCUUUGUAUUCAUACUUCUAUACAAGGGCUCAAGUCCUAGAGGGACAUUCCCUAAGACAUCGAGAUGGGGUACCAUUUUGAGUGUCGGGAUAGGACCGUUCGACCAUUGUCCCAGUGCACGUCUUGGGACAUCCCAUGUCCCCAUUGUUGGGAUAGGGCGGCCAGUAGCAAAUUUUGUUCCAUGGGAAAACUGGGACAGUCCCGUCCCAUAGGAUUAAAAACCUUUCUUCUAUGUUCUUUGACCUAUGGAACACUCCUUUAAGAUUGCUUUUGUAGCAUGUUUUUUGGGUAUGAUGGCAAACUCAUGUUAGAUCAAUCUUUCCUGAAGAAUCUGCAAUGCUAAAUCUGUUAUUCUUUGAGACCUCAAGUUGCAAGAUGGUGUAGAGCCAACCAAAUUCAUCUGUCUGAAAUUGAUAAUGGAUCAUUACUUUAUUUUUUUCUUUUAAAAAAGGCAAAUACCACCUUUUAGGCCAAAUCAUUCUUAGCGGCAGACUCCAAUUCUAUUUGAAGAGUGGGAUAAAUGGUAUUUGGAUCUUACUUUUUUUUUCUUGGUAAUUGCAUUUGAGAAUCUUAUUAGAAAUGGUAUUCUGGACAACUUCACUUGAUAUAGUGCUUUAAAUUGCUAAACUUUUUAUUUCUUGGCAUUUCCAUCAAGUGAUUUAAGUUAUGGGUGGGUGGAAGCAAAUUCAAUUGCUUACUGCUUUGUAGUUAGUUUGUAUCACCAUAUUCUCAUGUUUGAAAAUUUUAGGAAGCAAAUGGAGGGUUGUUGAUAUGUGUUCUAUUUUGUCCUCCUUGAGAUCCCUUCAACAUGUAUGCUAAAAGUUGUCAUUACUUUUUUUGGGUGUAUGAGUUCGGAGAUUGAUUACAUGUGUUUCUUUGGUACUUAUCAGUAAAAGUUAGCCUUUCUUCUUUAAUUACAGCCGACUUUAUGCAAUUAGAGUUUAGUUCAAAUAGUAAAAGUCAGCUACUGGUCUGAGCAAUUUUGACUUAUCUAAAGAAUCUCUGGAUCCCAUUCUUCUUAUUAAGUGGUGGACGGUCCGUCAACCAACUUCCUUAUAUGCUGCCCAUUCAAUGUCCACUUCUUUCUUACCCGGUUUCUCAAUUCAUUUACUCAAUAUCUUAACCUACUCAUUUCUUUUUAUCAGAUGUAAAAAAAAUUACCAAAAAAAUUUCUGCUCUAUAGUUUUCAUGCCUAGUAGGACCAUUGAUGUUCAUAUUUCAGAAAGCCACAUCAUCAUCUUGACACUCUCAUUUGCAUUUAAGAUCCGACUAUGCACUGAUUACAUCACUUAAGAAUUUUUUCUUUCUAGUUUGACUAUCAUGUUUUAUAUUGAAUACAGACAGUUUCUUGAUUCAGGUCCUUAUGCAUUUUUUUAGCUUCAAUUGUUUCGUAUAUUUGUAGACAUUAUAAAUUUUAUGCUAUGUUGAGUCUAAAGUAGCAUGUUGUGCUUCACACACUUGCAAUUUUUGAUAAUAAGCAAAGUUGUAACCUACAUAUUUAUUAAAUUGCUUUAUUUUAACUUCUAUGCUAAGGUUAAACAUUCUUAUGCCUUUUCAUUUUUCCAUUCAUUUUUUAACUUAUGAGCUUGUCUACAUUUUAGGGAACAUUGCAAUCUUAUGAUCAAGUUUUUUGGCGUUGUGAAGAACUAACCUCCCUAAGAAAGUUUCAAAGUACAGUUCAAACUCGCUGGACACUGCUACAUAGCUCAACAUUGAGAGCUCAUCAUUGAAUUGGCAAGUCACUUUCAUGAAGAAGCGUGAAGUACAUUGUCUUCUUGCCACAAAAUAUGAGUUGCUGGAUCAAGCGUUUGAUUAUACCAGGUUUUCACCUCCAAGUCUGCUGGGAUCAUGAUCAUGCCUUGAGUACAGAAAAUACUGAAACAGAGUCCGGUCAAAUGGAUCCUUAAGAAAUAUUAUUGAUACGAACGAUAUAUAUGUGAGCUGUGCUGAUGGCCAAGUGAGAUGGACUAAUGGUUUUUUUUUUUGGUGAGAAUAAUGGCGGGGAUGUCAGCAUGAGUUUUCAAACUCAGAACCUUGCCUGCGCUAACUAGAGGGUGACAGCACUAAAGUUCUGUCAACAGUGUGUUAGCAAAUUCCAUCGUCCCAAUAUAGUCUAAAAGGCUCUAAAUGCAUUUUGUGCACUGUUGCAAGUUCUAGUUUUAAGACGAUUAGUCCAUCAGCACUAUAUUAUCAAACACUUGUUCGUAUGAUAUUACCUCUUGUCCUUUGAGGAGUGUGU